UCAUCAUCUAAUACUAUUCCCCUCUCAUCAUCGCCCUUGCUUAAAAACACUGCCUACACCCCCAGAUAAAAACAUACUGAUAUAAAUCAUCACUUCAGAAUAAAUGAAGUUCUUAUUUGCAUAAUUUUCUUUCUUUAUGAACAUUAUAAUUUUAAUUAGAAAUUUAACUGACAUUUUACUUUAUUGAGAUACAAUAUACACAUCAUAAAAUCUAUUCAUUAUCUUUGCAUGGAUGUGUUCUUCAUUUAUCAUGGUACAUUCCUAGGAGUGGAAUUGCUGUGUCAUAUGAGAAGAAUAUAUCCAGGCUGAUCCAUCAAUCCCAGAAGGAGAACAAGAAACACAUGGAGCAGAGCUAAGUUACCCAGCCUAGCUCAGCCUAGAUCAGCAUCCUGUAACAGGCCCCCAGCCUUGUGGGCUAAAUAAACAUGUGUUGUUGUAUGUUACUGUGUUGUUUUUACUUAGCACUCUGUGGCAAUAGCUGAUAUACCUUCUGUGAUCGCCCUGUUUAAAAUUUAAUGUGCACAAGAUAUAAAACCCAAAAUGCACAGAUGUGUUAGUAUCACAUCAUCUAUAAGAUUCUCUUUAAUUUACUGACCAUUUUAAAAUUUAGUACAUUACUCUUCUUUUUUGGCAAAAAGGCACCCGACUUGCAUGGUUUUCUGUGAGAACUAAGCUUUUGCAUGACUUGUUCAUGCCUUUGUAUCCAAUCAGAGCAACACUGACAGCAGAUGCUUUGGAUAUAAUUUCCCAUUCAUCUUAGUUUUUUCUUCACAACAUUUGAUUCUUGCAGUUGCUGGAAUGAUUUCCAGAAUGAGAUUCAUUGUAUAAGCUUUGAGUCAGGAAUUUUAGCAUUUUAGAAUAAACAAAUGCACACAGAUUGUUCCUAAAGAACAGGCUUAGGGCCCAGAAAUUACAGUACUCCAAUCAUUCUCUUGCCAUUUUUAGUUACUUCAUAGCUUGGUAAAAUAAGCUGUUUCCAGGCAUUCCAUGCAUUUUUUUGUCCCUAGUUCACCAGCCCUUUUCCACAGUUCUCUUGGGUAUUCUCUUUAGAACUUAAUAUUUAAGCAUGGAUAUAAAAACAAUUUGCAACAUGAGAUUUAGCUGUGUGUGCAAAAUUUUAUUUAUUUAUUUUUUUACAUAUGGUUGAGAGAGUUCAUAGCUUUU
RNAcentral lists this long non-coding RNA (1164 nucleotides) under Homo sapiens (human). Its description in RNAcentral is "HSALNT0125085". The record is from RNAcentral. Lineage: Eukaryota; Metazoa; Chordata; Mammalia; Primates; Hominidae.